GGGACCGGUGUUUGGUGCUGGGGCCUCAGUAAGUCUGGGUCGGGUCUGAGAGGGGCAGCCAGAAGAGCUGUUUCUGUGCUCAUUAAAUGUAUGUGUGGGGCUUGUAGGGUGGAAAUUCCACCCAGAAACAUCCAGGGUGCCUCUCUCUGGUUUCUGCAUAGUCACUUGACACUGCCUCCGUCAUCCCAGCCUCAGUUCAAAUUCCCCUCUCCCCAUAAAAGGAGGCCACCGUGAGAAACCGGGUCCAUCUUUGCAUCUCAUUUACAUAAAUAUUUAUUAAUCGUCAUUAAACUGAACAGAAACACGCAAUGCACUUCGGGUGUCCGACGGGAAAUUUCAUCUUCGCUACAAGAGGAAGAGGGCAGCCUCGGCACAUCGAUUUCGGCUUCUCCAACUAUGGGUCCAAACUGGGCUGGAGGGGAGAGAAGGUCCAGGUCCAAUGCCAAGCAGGAGAGAAGACCGCGCACGUGCAUGCUAACGAUCUUGCCCUCUUUCAUCCUGAAUGUGUUAAAGACAGCAGUAAAGAACGAGCGAUGUGUCAGACGGCGUUUGAAGCAGGCUCUAGGCAAAGCGGCUGAAGCCUUCUGAACCUCACUUGCCUCCUCUGUAAAAUGGAAUGAUACUAGUGAGGAUCAAAAGAGAUCAUGCAUAUAAAGAUCCCAGUCCAGUGCCCAGCACAGAGUAAAUGCUUUAUAUACAUCACCCGUUGUCAAUUUCUAUGACGUAUUUGCCUCCUUUCUUCAACCCAUGCUCUC
This 755-nucleotide long non-coding RNA is filed under the name Ictidomys tridecemlineatus (thirteen-lined ground squirrel). RNAcentral describes it as "lncRNA (ENSSTOG00000031383.1)". The record is from RNAcentral. Lineage: Eukaryota; Metazoa; Chordata; Mammalia; Rodentia; Sciuridae.